UUAAAUUGAGAGUUUGAUCCUGGCUCAGGAUGAACGCUGGCGGCGUGCUUAACACAUGCAAGUCGAGCGAUGAAGUUUCCUUCGGGAAACGGAUUAGCGGCGGACGGGUGAGUAACACGUGGGUAACCUGCCUCAUAGAGUGGAAUAGCCUUCCGAAAGGAAGAUUAAUACCACAUAACGUUGAAAGAUGGCAUCAUCAUUCAACCAAAGGAGUAAUCCGCUAUGAGAUGGACCCGCGGCGCAUUAGCUAGUUGGUGGGGUAACGGCCUACCAAGGCGACGAUGCGUAGCCGACCUGAGAGGGUGAUCGGCCACAUUGGGACUGAGACACGGCCCAGACUCCUACGGGAGGCAGCAGUGGGGAAUAUUGCACAAUGGGGGA
Molecule: ribosomal RNA, 381 nt
Filed under: Clostridium perfringens
Lineage: Bacteria; Bacillati; Bacillota; Clostridia; Eubacteriales; Clostridiaceae
Description: bacterial SSU rRNA
Rfam family: Bacterial small subunit ribosomal RNA
Source: RNAcentral